This 21-nucleotide ribosomal RNA is filed under the name Amanita virosa (European destroying angel). Its description in RNAcentral is "partial 28S ribosomal RNA". Lineage: Eukaryota; Fungi; Basidiomycota; Agaricomycetes; Agaricales; Amanitaceae. The record is from RNAcentral.
ACUUGACCUCAAAUCAGGUAG